Molecule: long non-coding RNA, 658 nt
Filed under: Carica papaya (papaya)
Lineage: Eukaryota; Viridiplantae; Streptophyta; Magnoliopsida; Brassicales; Caricaceae
Description: long non-coding RNA (CPAP_LNC007505)
Source: RNAcentral
AAAAGUAAUACAAGUAGAAGCUUGUUUAGGGUAAUUUCUAAAUGGCUAACUCAAGGUCGCUUAUGGUGAUGCUACUAAUCUCCGUCCUCUUUGCUUUAUCUGUUGAGUUUCUACCAUGUUUGGAGGCUAGAAAACUGACCAUGGCGCCUUCCUUGAGAGAUUCCAGUCUGGUUCAAGGUGACCUCUCCGAGGGUCCUGCACUGCCUUCUUCUCCAGGUAAUGGUCACGGCGAAGACCACCCAGAUGAAACCCUAAUUGCCGUUCAUCUUGCCAUGACCGAUCGUAUUUUGCAGUCUGUCCCGAGUCCAGGAGCUGGCCAUUAGGCAAUCUCCACAUUGCAUGUUCCAACCUACGUGAAUACCUAGAUUUUCCAUUCAAUCUUGGAGGAGAACUAUUAAAUCAUUAUAAAUAGUUAUAAUAUAUGCAUAUCAUAUAAUCAGUAUUAUGUAUACAUACAAUAACCUUCUGUAUGGAUUUAUAACAUUGAUUCUGCUGGUUCCUUGAUUUAAGUUAUAAACAAUAUACAUGUAAUGUAUAUUUAUUUCAAACAAGAUGCAUUAAUUUGCAAUGUAAAACUCAAAUAAAGUUAUGUUCUAAGGGACUUUUGUUCAAAAAUAGAGGUUGGGUUUUGAAUAGAUAUUACGUUAUAUUAAAAAAA